This 492-nucleotide ribosomal RNA is filed under the name Malassezia globosa. RNAcentral's name for it is "partial large subunit ribosomal RNA". It matches the Rfam family "Eukaryotic large subunit ribosomal RNA", at positions 119 to 615 of the family's 3401-position model. Lineage: Eukaryota; Fungi; Basidiomycota; Malasseziomycetes; Malasseziales; Malasseziaceae. The record is from RNAcentral.
AAUCUGGCACCUCCGGUGUCCGCGUUGUAAUCUGGAGACGUGUUUUCCGUGCGGAUCUAUGGACAAGUCCCUUGGAACAGGGCAUCGUAGAGGGAGAGAAUCCCGUACUUGCCAUGGAAGAACCGUGCUUUGCGAUACACGCUCUAAGAGUCGAGUUGUUUGGGAUUGCAGCUCAAAAUGGGUGGUAGACUCCAUCUAAAGCUAAAUAUCGGGGAGAGACCGAUAGCGAACAAGUACCGUGAGGGAAAGAUGAAAAGCACUUUGGAAAGAGAGUUAAAAGUACGUGAAAUUGUCGAAAGGGAAGCACUUGAAGUCAGCCAUGCUGCUUGAGACUCAGCCUGGCCUUUGGGCUUGGUGUAUUUCUCGGUGGCAAGCCAGCAUUGGUUUGGGUCGUCGGAGAAGCGCAUAGGGAAUGUAGCGUCUCCGGACGUGUUAUAGCCUUAUGCAGGAUACGACGACCUGGAUCAAGGAACGCAGUGUGCCCUCUGGGCG